AGCCGUGUGAUAAAUACAAAGCGAACUAUUCUUUCGCCUUUUACUAAAGAAUACCGUGUAUUUGUCACAUUAAGCGGCAUACGCUGAUUUUUGUAAAGGGAUCUAAAUCAGAUCCU
This is a non-coding RNA of Vigna angularis (adzuki bean), 116 nucleotides long. Lineage: Eukaryota; Viridiplantae; Streptophyta; Magnoliopsida; Fabales; Fabaceae. The record is from Rfam.